GGACUUUUAGUUUAAUUAUGAAUAUUUCCGUUACGUGGAGGUGGAGUUAAAGUCUU
Molecule: transfer RNA, 56 nt
Filed under: Ascaridia sp. GHL-2013
Lineage: Eukaryota; Metazoa; Nematoda; Chromadorea; Rhabditida; Ascaridiidae
Description: tRNA-Val
Source: RNAcentral